UCCUAUCCAAAUACCCUUAGCACUCUAUUCGUACACGAACGCAACAAAUCAGGAAGGUGGGGAGGAUGGUUCGAUGGUGGCGAAUCUGUUGAGUAGGGGAGUAGUUCAACCCGUCAUACGCCGGCACCACUAAUUGCAUGACUGAUGGUCGGCGAUGUUGGUGGCGUAGUCGAUGAAGUGUUCUAUAGCGUAGUCGUAUCCACCGGCAUUCGAAAUCGGCGUUGGGGUUGUCGGCUGCUUCAACAUUCUCCCAAAACCCUUUCCGUCAUACUUUCACCCCUCCCGCCAGCUACUGUUCGUAGUAGUGGCAGUAUCCUCCCUCUUUAGCUGAAGAACCCUAGAACCAGCCACAGUCUUCGUUGUUGUCUCCAUUCGAUUAACGCUUGGAGCCAUCUUCGUUCCAUACCCGUUCCAGGUUCUUUUUUUUUCGUCUCUCACCAAAGAGGGUGGGAUUUAGGGCCUUCCCCAUUCCUCGCACAUCUCCACUCUUCCACCGCCCUCGACAUUAUCUGUUCAGAAUGACCACUAUAUCACCAAUCGGGAUUUCUAAAUAUGCGACGCCACCAGCGCUACCAGAUCAUCCAUCGGAACCCCUAGAAUAACCCAACUCAGUACCCUAAUCGCGAAACAUGAAUAUAAAGUCCAUCAUGUGCUCGAAUCUUCGUCAGCUUCGCCGCCGAGAGAGACAAAGAUGCAGAUCUUCGUGAUUCUUGCUGUUUACAACAUCCAGAAAGGUUUUACUCUUUUCUGUUCAUUAAAAUUAACACUUUAUGUCGAUUUGAUGAAUUAGACCUUAAUUGAUAACGUAUAGCAGAAUGACUUUUAGUUUAAUUGUUCAAAAUUAGCCGAUGAAGGUAUGGUCAAAGAAAUUGAUGUUCUUGUGCGAAAACCCUAACUUAUAGAUAUAGCAUGCUACCUGUUUGAUAAAGAUCCUCAACGAAUAAACGGUCAGAUGUACUACCACUCUUUCCUUCCUACUAUUAGAAAAAGAAUUGCAAGUUCCAAAUGUAGUGUCAAAUGAUGCAAUGUCAUCAAUUUCAGGCCUCGCACUGCCAUAUGCUAGCUUAUGUGUUUAAACUCCAGAACAAAAGAGAACGACAAAACGUGAUUUCAUCUGGUUUGGUUUGUACUGAAACUUUUGUUUGAGAUUUCUCAACGAUUGGUCUCAUAUUGCAAUCAGGAGACACACAUGUUCGACCACAGUUAAGAAGCAGCGAUGUUAGUGCUGAUGGUGCUGUGAUUUUGCAAUUAUCAGCCCUAAAACUUCUUAUUUUUUGCCAUAUAUCAAUGUUGAAGGUAUAUUGAUAUGUGUAUGCUUGGCAGUGGCAGGAAAGAAGGCAUUAUCCCAGGCACAAAGGAAGCCCUUUUCUUAAUCUUAGCAUUUCACUUCCUGCAUGAUAUUCUGAUAAUUCAAUGUUUCUUCUAUUUAGUAACAGUUAUAGGUGACAACAAGAAAUUUAGGACACUCGAAAAGUAAAUCUUGGAGAGAAAAUGGUAAGAAAGAGAAAGGUUAAAAAAGGUUAACCUGAAUUGUUUGCUGAAGAAAAGAGUCUCUAAAAGAACAGUGCAUGGGAUGAUUGCUAAUUUAGUCAUCUGAAAUGAAACCAUGAAAAAACAAACAUUACAUUUCACUAAAGUAGUAAAACUAAUGAAAAUAUUAAGUGUAAAAGAAACUUUUAUACAAUUUUGUAAGAUUUUAACACAAUUGGAAAUGAUCAUUUUCUUUAGCUUGCAUUUGCAUGAUUCGUCUCAAUUAUGAUAUUCAAUAACCACAGGGAAGAAUCACUAUCUGUUUGGUUUGAUGGAAUGGGAAUGGAAUAAGCAAGGUAAUGGAAUUUAAAGAAUUCCUUUGAUUUUGUCGACCAAACACAAAUUUUAUUGAAAUUUACCUUCCGUGAGACUUAUGUGCAAAAAUUGUGGAAGUUUCAUUGUCAGCUUUAAUAUGAAUCUAAUCUUUGAUUCAUUAAUUUUCUUUGUCUGUGACCCAGUUAUUAGCACAACAGAAUGAGCAAAGUAAAGAUGACAAGUUGCUGUGGGAACUACUUAAAAUGAAACAAAGAUGGCAACAACCCGAGAGUCCAUUUGGAGCGCAAGAGCUUCAUCCGGUUGGAAGCAGUACCAAACACCACCAUAAGUCAACAAUGGUCAACCUUUUUUUCCAAAUAACUAACUUCAUUACCAUUAGGCGCAUCAACAAUUCUUACCAGUUACAUACACUAAACAACAAUGUAGUUUGAAUUUACUUCUAUUUUUUCCUUUUUUUUUUCAAUUACUUUUGGAUGUCUUAAAUUUGGUAUUUCAUCCUCUUUCAGAAGUUUUGUUUGAAGCUGAAAGAAACAUCAAUAGACAACUAUUGAAUGGACUUUAUACUAUAAAUUCUAAUUCUGUCAAGUGUUCAA
Non-coding RNA from Lactuca sativa (garden lettuce), 2399 nucleotides. Lineage: Eukaryota; Viridiplantae; Streptophyta; Magnoliopsida; Asterales; Asteraceae. The record is from RefSeq and is a predicted model, not a curated record.